CGAACGGGUGAGUAAUACAUCGGAACGUAUCCAGUUGUGGGGGAUAGCCCGGCGAAAGCCGGAUUAAUACCGCAUACGACCUAGGGGUGAAAGCGGGGGAUCGCAAGACCUCGCGCUAUUGGAGCGGCCGAUGUCAGAUUAGCUAGUUGGUAGGGUAAAAGCCUACCAAGGCGACGAUCUGUAGCUGGUCUGAGAGGACGACCAGCCACACUGGGACUGAGACACGGCCCAG
RNAcentral lists this ribosomal RNA (232 nucleotides) under uncultured bacterium. Its description in RNAcentral is "partial 16S ribosomal RNA". It matches the Rfam family "Bacterial small subunit ribosomal RNA", at positions 99 to 334 of the family's 1533-position model. The record is from RNAcentral.